Molecule: long non-coding RNA, 748 nt
Organism: Dicentrarchus labrax (European seabass)
Lineage: Eukaryota; Metazoa; Chordata; Actinopteri; Moronidae
Exons: 4
Source: RefSeq, a predicted model, not a curated record
CCCACAGGAUGUACAUUAGAACAGGCUUCGCUAUAUACAAUACGUGUGUGUGUGUGUUUGUACAUAUCGUACAUAUCGUAUAUUAUUAUAGAGUGAGGCUGUGGAAAGUGGCGUUUCUUAAAUCUUUGCUGAAAAAUUGUGCAACUUUGUGGAGCAGUGUGGAAAAGACUCCCCCCAUUGCUGAGAUUGGACGUCCAGUCCACCACCAGUUACUGGCAACACCUGAGAGGUUUAUUGAGGAGGUUGGCUGCAGCCCCUGCAGGUUUCCAUUUCUUCUGGUUCUCUGGUAGGAAAACCUGCAGACAUUUAAAGCUGCACUAGAAACCAGAGGAACAAGAUUCUAAUCUUCAUCAGCAUCACAAGGCAAAACCUCAGAGCCGAGUCGUGGACUCUGCACGAAGAGCUGAGGGGAAAGUGCACAGCAGGGAUGGAAUUCAGCUCUUUAUCUGGGAAUAAACCAGUCUGUUUUAACCAUGAUAUCACCAAUAAUCUGUUUUGUGAUCAAGAGCCGAGUGCUGGAGCUGCUUCAUUAACAAUAAAUGACACGGGGAGGCACAGGAGCUGCCAGAGAAUACAUGGAUGGAUGCUCCUCUAUCUCUAUCUGAGAUAUACUCUGUCAUGUCUGUAAAAUUUGUCAAAUGUCUCCCAACCACAGGAGCAGCAUUAAAGUUUAGUACAGUAUGUAAUGUUGAAUGAGUAAAACCUGGAUUUUCAGCUGCCAAUAAACCUACUAGUUGCUAUUCAAUAA